Non-coding RNA from Paramuricea clavata, 308 nucleotides. Lineage: Eukaryota; Metazoa; Cnidaria; Anthozoa; Malacalcyonacea; Plexauridae. The record is from the annotation of a GenBank genome assembly.
AAUAGAGUCAUAUCAACAUGCACUACAAAUCAGAUUAAAACUGUUUGGAGAAUAUCACCUUGAUACAGCUAAAACUUAUCGCAACAUUGGAGUCACACAACAUAGUAAACAUACCAUGAAAGACUACAAAUCUGCCUUACAGUCAUAUCAGCAUGCUCUUCAAAUCAGAUUAAAACUGCUCGGCGGAAAUAAUUCCGACACCGCUGAGAGCUUCCAGGAUAUUAGACUGGUAAAAGAUGACAUGAAAAAUUAUAAGUGAGCAUUAGACUGGAACGAAAGAGACUUUCAUUGUGGGUGGAAUAUGCGUA